ACGUACACUCCUACGGGAGGCAGCAGUGGGGAAUUUUACGCAAUGGGGGAAACCCUGACGUAGCGACACCGCGUGAGCGAAGAAGCCCUUUGGGGUGUAAAGCUCUGUCAGCUGGAACGAAAACAAUGACGGUACCAGCAGAGGAAGCAUCGGCUAACUACGUGCCAGCAGCCGCGGUAAGACGUAGGAUGCGAGCGUUGUCCGGAUUUAUUGGGCGUAAAGAGUUCGUAGGUGGUUUGUUAAGUUUGGUGUUAAAGAUCGGGGCUCAACCCUGGGACUGCACUGAAUACUGGCAGACUCGAGUGUGGUAGAGGCUAGUGGAAUUCCCAGUGUAGCGGUGAAAUGCGUAGAUAUUGGGAAGAACACCGGUGGCGUAGGCGACUAGCUGGGCCAUAACUGACGCUGAGGAACGAAAGCCAGGGGAGCGAAUGGGAUUAGAUACCCGGGUAGUCCCAUGA
RNAcentral lists this ribosomal RNA (458 nucleotides) under uncultured organism. Its description in RNAcentral is "partial 16S ribosomal RNA". It matches the Rfam family "Bacterial small subunit ribosomal RNA", at positions 329 to 804 of the family's 1533-position model. The record is from RNAcentral.